Long non-coding RNA from Quercus robur (English oak), 819 nucleotides. RefSeq lists it as uncharacterized. The transcript is spliced from 2 exons. The record is from RefSeq and is a predicted model, not a curated record. NCBI's taxonomy places the organism in Eukaryota, Viridiplantae, Streptophyta, Magnoliopsida, Fagales, Fagaceae.
AACUCUCUCUCUCUCUCUCUCUCUCUCUCUCUCACUCUCAUCACUCUCAGUCACGAAAAAAAAAUCAGAGCUCACUCACUCUCCCAUGCCGAUCAACCUACCUUCAAAUCGCUGUCCAUCCCGCCGCCGCUGUCCUCAGAUCUAAGGCUUUACACCGUCCAAUCCGCCGCUGCAGCUUUUCCCACCCAUCUCGCCGCCGCUGUCCUUCAUCUCCACUAGGAAACGGGCCGAUAAUAAUCGGUCCUACCCUCUGCCGCCGAUACCAACAACCUCCACCACAGCCGCUGCGGUCAUCCCCGGACUCUUCCCCUCCCUCAGCCGCCCAAAACGCUCCUGAAGGUAGCUGACAUUAGAAGGAUGAAUGGCUUGGCAACAGAUCUUCAAAUGUUUGCUUUGAAGACAUUACAAAUACCAUUACCAGGAAGACAUCCACCAUCUCCCAGUUUGUCUAAUGGGUCUGCUUCUCAAGGAUAUGAUAUACUUCAUCUCUACAAAUAACUAUUUUUACUUAUAGUCAAGCUUAUUAUCAUCCCAUUGUUAGCCUUUAGCCUGCAAGGAGUCACUUAUAAAAAUAAAUAAAAGAAAAAUGGAUUUUUUCUUUUCUUUUCUGGUCUAGGAUUUGCUCUAGCAUGUCUUGUGUCCACUAGUAUACAAUGCCAUGAUGGCUUUGUCUUCCUCUCACUUUAUUAUGCAUUCAUCAAUUUACUUGCCCUUGAGUUUAUGACACUUCGUUCUUGUAGCAUCCAUAUUUCCAACACUUUGCUUUCUUAUUGCAUAUAUAUGUUUAAGACAUUACAAAAAAAUAAUAUUUUUGUCUUC